RNAcentral lists this long non-coding RNA (375 nucleotides) under Pongo abelii (Sumatran orangutan). Its description in RNAcentral is "lincRNA". The record is from RNAcentral. Lineage: Eukaryota; Metazoa; Chordata; Mammalia; Primates; Hominidae.
ACCCGUCUGCAAGCCAGGAAGAGAGUCCUCGCCAGAAACUAAACCCCGCUGGAAACUUGAUUUUGCGCUUUCCAGCCUCUAGAACUAAUACGUGAAAAACAUUUAAAUCAGAAAGUAAAUAACAGGAUGAUUUGCAAGACACAGAGAUGUAAAAUUAAAAAGCCUCUCGAGCUCCAAAGCUACCUGUUAACUUCAACAAGCACACUGGCCUGGAGACUACAUGAUGGUGUAUCAGUUAUGGUACCUCUCCAUCAUUGCCCAUCAAUGACAUUUCUGAUGCUCCAGAAGGAUACCCUUGAGGUCAUCCUGUUCUCACCUCCAAUAUUCAUUAUGAUCUCUAACAUCACUAUAUACAACAUUUUUGUAUAUAUACAA